AAAAGAAACUAACAAGGAUUCCCUCNGUAGCGGCGAGCGAAGAGGGAAGAGCCCAGCGCCGAAUCCCCGUCCGACAGGCGGGCGCGGGAAAUGUGGCGUACAGAAGAUCGCUUGCCCGGUGUCGCUCGGGGGCCUGAGUCCUUCUGAUCGAGGCUCAGCCCGUGGACGGUGUGAGGCCGGUAACGGCCCCCGUCGCGCCGGGGUUCGGUCUUCUCGGAGUCGGGUUGUUUGUGAAUGCAGCCCAAAGCGGGUGGUAAACUCCAUCUAAGGCUAAAUACCGGCACGAGACCGAUAGCAGACAAGUACCG
This 308-nucleotide ribosomal RNA is filed under the name Myripristis botche (blacktip soldierfish). RNAcentral describes it as "eukaryotic LSU rRNA". It matches the Rfam family "Eukaryotic large subunit ribosomal RNA", at positions 57 to 353 of the family's 3401-position model. Lineage: Eukaryota; Metazoa; Chordata; Actinopteri; Holocentriformes; Holocentridae. The record is from RNAcentral.